AACCCGGCUACAUGAAGCUGGAAUCGCUAGUAAUCGCGGAUCAGAAUGCCGCGGUGAAUACGUUCCCGGGUCUUGUACACACCGCCCGUCACACCAUGGGAGUUGGAAAUGCCCGAAGUCAGUGACCCAACCAAAAGGAGGGAGCUGCCGAAGGCAGGUUCGAUGACUGGGGUGAAGUCGUAACAAGGUAGC
RNAcentral lists this ribosomal RNA (192 nucleotides) under uncultured bacterium. Its description in RNAcentral is "partial 16S ribosomal RNA". It matches the Rfam family "Bacterial small subunit ribosomal RNA", at positions 1309 to 1500 of the family's 1533-position model. The record is from RNAcentral.